GGUGAGAUGGCCGAGUGGUUAUGGCGCUGCGUUCAGGCAAACCCUGAAUUGAUGAUACUGUCACCAGUAUCAUGAUUAAAUUUCGCAGUGGAGCAAUCCGCGUGGGUUCGAGUCCCACUCUCAUCA
Xylaria sp. FL1777 is the source of this 126-nucleotide non-coding RNA. Lineage: Eukaryota; Fungi; Ascomycota; Sordariomycetes; Xylariales; Xylariaceae. The record is from the annotation of a GenBank genome assembly.